Molecule: long non-coding RNA, 338 nt
Organism: Phragmites australis (common reed)
Lineage: Eukaryota; Viridiplantae; Streptophyta; Magnoliopsida; Poales; Poaceae
Exons: 2
Source: RefSeq, a predicted model, not a curated record
AAUCGGCUUGCCUCCGACCAGUUAGGCUUCCCAGGCCGAUGACCGUGCCAUUGCAACCGUUCUGCCGUUGGGAAGUCCUCAAGACCAAGAGACUCACAUUCUCUGCAGUGCACAUCAAAAGAACACGCGAUAGACAACGGAAAAAAAUAUAUGGGUAGAAAUUUUCAAUGCCUUGGCCCACAUGGAUCCACUAGACACCCAAAGAAAAAGGUAUGCCAUUCUUUCACUAGCAGUAGUAGGUUGGAUGUUAAAGGCUAUACAUGGGACAUGGACUUGUGAUAUACUUCUAAGCUGAAAUGUAUACUAUUGUCAUAUUAUGUUAUUUGUGUAUACCUGUA